Molecule: long non-coding RNA, 884 nt
Organism: Rosa chinensis
Lineage: Eukaryota; Viridiplantae; Streptophyta; Magnoliopsida; Rosales; Rosaceae
Exons: 4
Source: RefSeq, a predicted model, not a curated record
UCUCUCUUCCCCCCGAACUCGACGGAAAAUAGAGCAAAGCUUCGCCGGCUUUGUUCUUCCUCAUCCGGCCACCGUUUUCCUCCAAACCACCUCCAUCAGCUUCACCUCCCUCCUCCGAAGCCAUCUGUGGCAACCUUGAACUGCGGCACGGCCCCUAGCGGCGGCUGCGGUACGGUUUCGAUUAAAGCUCGAUUUUGGUCAACGCCGGUUUUCUCCUAGCUCCGGCCACCAAAACUUCCGAUCCUUGGCUCCAUGAACUCCCCUCAACCUGCUGAUCAUCAUACUAGGAGGAUUGCACCUAGAGUGACCGGUUUCACGUUCGUCGGAGCUCGUGGGUUCUUCUUGAUUUUAUUAACAACUCUCUAGAAGGAAUUGAGGCCUGAAAUUGAAGUUUUUACGUCGAAAAUCGAGCUCGCCGGUUUCUGGAAAUUCUCUCCGGUUUCUGGAACUUUUCCGGCCACCUUCAUACUGUUCAAGGUGAUUGACGGUCUUCCUUGGUGAGCGGUUUUGGUGGGUAUUGUGAAAGUGAAGACGCAGCGGGAUUAGAGCGGGAAGUCUUGCAGGUUAGGAGAUUCAGAGCGGUGAUCGUGCGGGUUAGAGUAAUGGUUUUAGUUUUACAGUGAUUGUAAUAGUGAGGUGAGUGAUGCUCAAUUUGAGCUUUACAUAUUUAAGUUGUAUAUUUGAGUUGUAAUAAAUAAAUUGCGUUUUGGAAUUUGAGUGACUCAUGUGUUAGUUGAUUUUUCAUGUUCCGGAUUUGAAAAAAGUUAUUCAAAAUUCGGGGCGUGACAGGAUGUUUAUCAUCCAAUUCAUAAGGCUACUGAUCUGUUUGGUGAUAAUCAGAGUGCCAUCAAGCUUGCUUAUAAUCCAGUGUGCCAUGCUAGAAC